This is a long non-coding RNA of Hirundo rustica (Barn swallow), 1199 nucleotides long. RefSeq lists it as uncharacterized. The record is from RefSeq and is a predicted model, not a curated record. Lineage: Eukaryota; Metazoa; Chordata; Aves; Passeriformes; Hirundinidae. The transcript has 3 exons.
GGAGCCCGAGCGGUUCCCGGGACCCGGGGCGCUGUUCGGGGGAGCAGAGCCGCCUCCAGGGCUCGGCAGCGCCGGCCCUUGGACACCGGACCGCAGGGCAGGGACGGAGCGAAGGUCACGGGCUCGGAGGCACCCAGACGAUCGCUCCCGACCUUUAAAACGAACGCGAGGAACGGCUGGGGGAAAGGAUGGACCCUGAAGCAGCAUCGUCACUGUCCAUCCUGGAGGCGUCCUGCGGGAAGCCCGUGUGCGAUUCCCCGGCGUGGGCUUUGCAGCCGGGAGCCGUGUGCUGCUGAGGCGUCCCUGCUGCGUGCCUGUGCUGGCCCUCGGGGGCUCCCUGCUGCUCCUGCCAGUGCUGCGCCGCCUCGGGGGCCGCCUGAGGAGGGAACUCCAGUCUCUUGGCUGGCAUGGGAGGCGUGGAUGGCUGCAUCAGCGACGGCGGCGGCGACGGCGGCACCUGCGCGGCGUCUGCGAACUGAGGCCUUUGAGAUGGACUGGGCAUCGAAUCCUUUGUUCGCUGAUGGGCUUGGCGCCGGGCACAGCAGGAAGCUGCGAGUCUGGUUUGCAGUUGUGAGCGCCUCCGUUCGCUGAUCCCGGCGGGUUGGGCAGCCCCCUUGGCACUGGCUCGUUCUGGGUCACGGGUUCUAUCAACUUCUGCCAAUUCCGCAGCAAUUUCUUGGCACGUUUGGCAAGUUCCUCGUUGGAUGUCUUCUUCCUCACCUCAUUGAUAAGCCUCCCGAGUCUGGUUUCCUACAAAGACAGACAAGGUGUUUUACAAACACGUAUCGUGCCAAGCAAAAUCCUCCAGGAAUGUUUCUGCUUUGUAAUGCUCAUCCCUGAGAAACACCUGGUUAAAAACACUGAAGAUUUAAGCGUUGAAUUAAUCUUUUUGGAAAGGAUUAGUUCAGGGCUCUGCCACGCAACAUGAAACCGACUGUAGGUUUCAAGUCACGGCGUCUUUAUUCCCUGGGAAAAGCAGGAGAGCUGGGAAAAACAUCAGAAAGGAUUUUUUAAUUGAGAAAGAGCCAUAAGAAUAAGAGUGCAGGUUCGGAUUCGAGGGGAAAUGCAGCACCCAAAGGUGUGUGUUUAUCACAAAGGAAGUAUAAGAUCUGCAGAGAGAGCCAAGAGAAAAGAAUUCCAGGAUCUCUGCCUGUCACAGUAACUCGUUAACAAUAAAAAUCUCCAUUUGACAAACCUGA